CCACUGAUGGUGUAAAGUGUGAACAGUUGUGUCGCUCUGAACAUCGUUGGCAUCGCAAGGCAACUGCGUUUGUACGGCAACUACGUUUGCUCUUUUUUAGAAAUGUCCAUGGGAUCUCUGAUUUUCUA
Long non-coding RNA from Brassica napus (rape), 128 nucleotides. RefSeq lists it as uncharacterized. The transcript is spliced from 2 exons. NCBI's taxonomy places the organism in Eukaryota, Viridiplantae, Streptophyta, Magnoliopsida, Brassicales, Brassicaceae. The record is from RefSeq and is a predicted model, not a curated record.